GACGAACGCUGGCGGCGUGCUUAACACAUGCAAGUCGAACGCUGAAGCUUGGUUCUUGCACUGUGUGGAUGAGUGGCGAACGUGUGAGUAAUACGUGAGUAACCUGCCCUUGACUCUGGUAUAAGCCUGGGAAACUGGGUCUAAUACUGGAUACGACAUGUCACCGCAUGGUGGUGUGUGGAAAUGGUUUUACUGGUUUUGGAUGGGCUCACGGCCUAUCAGCUUGUUGGUGGGGUAAUGGCUCACCAAGGCGACGACGGGUAGCCGGCCUGAGAGGGUGACCGGCCACACUGGGACUGAGACACGGCCCAGACUCCUACGGGAGGCAGCAGUGGGGAAUAUUGCACAAUGGGCGGAAGCCUGAUGCAGCGACGCCGCGUGAGGGAUGACGGCCUUCGGGUUGUAAACCUCUUUCAGCACGGAAGAAGCGAAAGUGACGGUACGUGCAGAAGAAGCGCCGGCUAACUACGUG
Molecule: ribosomal RNA, 472 nt
Filed under: uncultured bacterium
Lineage: Bacteria
Description: partial 16S ribosomal RNA
Rfam family: Bacterial small subunit ribosomal RNA
Source: RNAcentral